UGUUAUGAAAAGUACACUGCAACUUGUGUAUAUGUGCUCCUUAAAUUACAACUCAUUUCUCUCUCUCUCCUUGUUGAAGGAGAUUAAUAACUCUCUCUCUCCCUCUAGUUAGUAGAGUGAAAAUUUCUCUCAUCUUCCUCCUUCAUUGUUGCUAAGAGUUUAUCUCACUUUGUCUGUUACAGUCCACGGCUGUCCUCCCCCUCAUCCGGGCACUCCCCUCCCCACAGAUUUCUGUUGUGGGUUUUGGGUUUGAAUUGUUCGGUUGGGUUAGAUGUCAGGGCUCCUGUUUUCCGCAAGUCAUUGCCUCUCUGCAUUGGGCUUUUUGCCUUUAUUUUUAAACCCUUUGUACCGGACCAAUUAAGGCCUUCUAUUAAUGAAA
This 379-nucleotide unclassified non-coding RNA is filed under the name Hevea brasiliensis (rubber tree). Lineage: Eukaryota; Viridiplantae; Streptophyta; Magnoliopsida; Malpighiales; Euphorbiaceae. The record is from RNAcentral.